UAAAGAUUUAUUGCUUGAAGAUGGGCAUGCUUUCCAUUAGGUAGUCGGCGGGGUAACGGCCCACCGAGCCGUCGAUGGAUAGGGGCACUGAGAGGUUUGUCCCCCACACUGGUACUGAGACACGGACCAGACUCCUACGGGAGGCAGCAGUGAGGAAUAUUGGUCAAUGGGCGGGAGCCUGAACCAGCCAAGUCGCGUGAAGGACGACGGUAUUAUGUAUUGUAAACUUCUUUUAUAUAGGAAUAAAAAGAGGGAUGUAUCCCUCAUUGCAUGUACUAUAUGAAUAAGCAUCGGCUAACUCCGUGCCAGCAGCCGCGGUAAUACGGAGGAUGCGAGCGUUAUCCGGAUUUAUUGGGUUUAAAGGGUGCGUAGGCGGGAACGUAAGUCAGUGGUGAAAGUUUGCGGCUCAACCGUAAAAUUGCCAUUGAAACUGCGUUUCUUGAGAGUGGUAGAGGUAGGCGGAAUGCGCGGUGUAGCGGUGAAAUGCAUAGAUAUCGCGCAGAACCCCGAUUGCGAAGGCAGCUUACUGGAGCACAUCUGACGCUGAAGCACGAAAGCGUGGGUAUCAAACAGGAUUAGAUACCCUGGUAGUCCACGCUGUAAACGAUGAUAACUAGUUGUUUGCGAUAUACGGUAAGCGACACAGCGAAAGCGUUAAAUUAUCCACCUGGGGAGUAC
Molecule: ribosomal RNA, 678 nt
Filed under: uncultured bacterium
Lineage: Bacteria
Description: bacterial SSU rRNA
Rfam family: Bacterial small subunit ribosomal RNA
Source: RNAcentral